This 1407-nucleotide ribosomal RNA is filed under the name uncultured bacterium. Its description in RNAcentral is "bacterial SSU rRNA". It matches the Rfam family "Bacterial small subunit ribosomal RNA". The record is from RNAcentral.
AGAGUUUGAUCCUGGCUCAGGAUGAACGCUAGCGGCAGGCUUAACACAUGCAAGUCGAGGGGCAGCGGGGAGGAAGCUUGCUUUCUCCGCCGGCGACCGGCGCACGGGUGAGUAACACGUAUGCAACCUGCCCCUGUCAGGGGGACAACCCGCCGAAAGGCGGGCUAAACCCGCGUACAUGCCACCGGGGCAUCCCGGAGGCAGGAAAGGCUUCGGCCGGACAGGGAUGGGCAUGCGGCGCAUUAGGCAGUAGGCGGGGUAACGGCCCACCUAACCGACGAUGCGUAGGGGUUCUGAGAGGAAGGUCCCCCACACUGGUACUGAGACACGGACCAGACUCCUACGGGAGGCAGCAGUGAGGAAUAUUGGUCAAUGGUCGGGAGACUGAACCAGCCAAGCCGCGUGAGGGAGGAAGGUACAGAGUAUCGUAAACCUCUUUUGUCAGGGAACAAAGGCGGGGACGUGUCCCCGGAUGAGUGUACCUGAAGAAAAAGCAUCGGCUAACUCCGUGCCAGCAGCCGCGGUAAUACGGAGGAUGCGAGCGUUAUCCGGAUUUAUUGGGUUUAAAGGGUGCGCAGGCGGUCUGUUAAGUCAGCGGUCAAAGCCCGGGGCUCAACCCCCGGCCCGCCGUUGAAACUGGCAGUCUCGAGUUGGAGAGAAGUAUGCGGAAUGCGCGGGGUAGCGGUGAAAUGCAUAGAUAUCGCGCAGAACUCCGAUUGCGAAGGCAGCAUGCCGGGCUCCACCACUGACGCUGAGGCAGGAAAGCGUGGGUAUCGAACAGGAUUAGAUACCCUGGUAGUCCACGCAGUAAACGAUGAAUGCUGGCUGUCCGGGGGGACUGACCCCUGGGUGGCGAAGCGAAAGCGAUAAGCAUUCCACCUGGGGAGUACGCCGGCAACGGUGAAACUCAAAGGAAUUGACGGGGGCCCGCACAAGCGGAGGAACAUGUGGUUUAAUUCGAUGAUACGCGAGGAACCUUACCCGGGCUCAAACGGGGAGUGGCGCAGGCAGAGACGCCUGUUUCCCACGGGACACUCCCCGAGGUGCUGCAUGGUUGUCGUCAGCUCGUGCCGUGAGGUGUCGGCUUAAGUGCCAUAACGAGCGCAACCCCCGCGUGCAGUUGCUAACAGUCAACGCUGAGGACUCUGCACGGACUGCCGGCGCAAGCCGCGAGGAAGGCGGGGAUGACGUCAAAUCAGCACGGCCCUUACGUCCGGGGCGACACACGUGUUACAAUGGGUGGUACAGCGGGAAGCCAGGCGGCGACGCCGAGCGGAACCCGAAAUCCACUCUCAGUUCGGAUCGGAGUCUGCAACCCGACUCCGUGAAGCUGGAUUCGCUAGUAAUCGCGCAUCAGCCAUGGCGCGGUGAAUACGAAAGCGGGCCUUGUACACACCGCCCGUCAAG